This 513-nucleotide ribosomal RNA is filed under the name uncultured archaeon. RNAcentral's name for it is "bacterial SSU rRNA". It matches the Rfam family "Archaeal small subunit ribosomal RNA", at positions 345 to 859 of the family's 1478-position model. The record is from RNAcentral.
AAACUCUGCAAUGCCGGCAACGGCGACAGGGGAACACCCAGUGGUUGCACUUUGUGCAACCUGUUUUCAUGCCUAAAAAGCAUGGAGAGUAAGGGCUGGGUAAGACGGGUGCCAGCCGCCGCGGUAAUACCCGCAGCCCGAGUGAUGCUCGUUAUUAUUGGGUCUAAAGCGUCCGUAACCGGCCUCCUAAAUGCCUGAGGAAAUCGUACGGCUCAACCGCACGAAGGCUCGGGUAGACUGGGAGGCUUGAGACCGGGAGAGGCCAGAGGUACUCCGGGGGUAGAGGUGAAAUUCUGUAAUCCUCGGGGGACCACCGGUGGCGAAGGCGUCUGGCUAGAACGGAUCUGACGGCGAGGGACGAAGGCUAGGGGCGCAAACGGGAUUAGAUACCCCGGUAGUCCUAGCUGUAAACGCUGCGGACUUGGUGUCGGGGGUCCUACGGGGGCUCCCGGUGCCGGAGCGAAGGUGUUAAGUCCGCCACCUGGGGAGUACGGCCGCAAGGUUGAAACUUAA